CCUACGGGUGGCAGCAGUGAGGAAUAUUGGUCAAUGGGCGCGAGCCUGAACCAGCCAAGUCGCGUGAGGGAAGACGGCCCUACGGGUUGUAAACCUCUUUUGCCGGGGAGCAACGGGCGCCACGUGUCGCGCCACAGAGAGUACCCGGAGAAAAAGCAUCGGCUAACCCCGGGCCAGCAGCCGCGGUAAUACGGGGGAUGCGAGCGUUAUCCGGAUUUAGUGGGUUUAAAGGGUGCGUAGGCGGCGUGUUAAGUCAGUGGUAAAAUUGAGGGGCUCAACCCCUUCCCGCCAUUGAAACUGGCGCUCUUGAGUGGAAGAGAAGUAUGCGGAAUGCGUGGUGUAGCGGUGAAAUGCAUAGAUAUCACGCAGAACCCCGAUUGCGAAGGCAGCAUGCCGGCUUCCGACUGACGCUGAAGCACGAAAGCGUGGGGAUCGAACAGGAUUAGAUACCCGAGUAGUC
RNAcentral lists this ribosomal RNA (460 nucleotides) under uncultured bacterium. RNAcentral describes it as "partial 16S ribosomal RNA". It matches the Rfam family "Bacterial small subunit ribosomal RNA", at positions 338 to 795 of the family's 1533-position model. The record is from RNAcentral.